CUGCCCUUUUACACAAACUCCAGAUGUCUGACUCCCUGAACCUGACCGUCCUAAUUAGCAGAGCCCUAAUCUUUCCUUGACCAUCUCCUGUUCAGAAGUAGAGAAGUUAUCCAUCAACAGUCCCUGCCUGGAAAGAGCUUGGCUUCUGCCCUCCACGUGGCAUGCGGAUUUCCUUUUAUCUAAGAGAAAACCUAGGCAAUCAAGAUCUGAAUGGCUUUUCCGCUUGAAAAGGGGUACAGUGGUCACGAG
This 249-nucleotide long non-coding RNA is filed under the name Mus spicilegus (steppe mouse). RNAcentral describes it as "lncRNA (ENSMSIG00000028420.1)". Lineage: Eukaryota; Metazoa; Chordata; Mammalia; Rodentia; Muridae. The record is from RNAcentral.